AGGGUCAGUAACAUAAUAAUCCCCUAAAAUAUUUACACACACAACAAGGAGGUACAGUAAAUGCACCCCAUAUACACGCCCCAUAUACACCUCAGCCCAGGCCCUUGCCUGGUCUGUAUUGUGAAUGGGAGGACAUGG
Suncus etruscus (white-toothed pygmy shrew) is the source of this 138-nucleotide small nucleolar RNA. RefSeq annotates it as small nucleolar RNA SNORA51. Lineage: Eukaryota; Metazoa; Chordata; Mammalia; Eulipotyphla; Soricidae. The record is from RefSeq and is a predicted model, not a curated record. The transcript has a single exon.